RNAcentral lists this ribosomal RNA (253 nucleotides) under uncultured prokaryote. RNAcentral describes it as "partial 16S ribosomal RNA". It matches the Rfam family "Bacterial small subunit ribosomal RNA", at positions 525 to 777 of the family's 1533-position model. The record is from RNAcentral.
ACGUAGGGUGCAAGCGUUGUCUGGAAUUAUUGGGCGUAAAGAGCUCGUAGGCGGUCCGUCACGUCGGCUGUGAAAACCUGGGGCUCAACCCCGGGCCUGCAGCCGAUACGGGCGGACUAGAAUUCGGUAGGGGAGACUGGAAUUCCUGGUGUAGCGGUGAAAUGCGCAGAUAUCAGGAGGAACACCGGUGGCGAAGGCGGGUCUCUGGGCCGAUAUUGACGCUGAGGAGCGAAAGCGUGGGGAGCGAACAGGA